GAUUAAGUUAUUAAGGGCGCACGGUGGAUGCCUUGGCACUAGAAGCCGAUGAAGGACGUUACUAACAACGAUAUGCUUUGGGGAGCUGUAAGUAAGCUUUGAUCCAGAGAUUUCCGAAUGGGGAAACCCAGCAUGAGUUAUGUCAUGUUAUCGAUAUGUGAAUACAUAGCAUAUCAGAAGGCACACCCGGAGAACUGAAACAUCUUAGUACCCGGAGGAAGAGAAAGAAAAUUCGAUUCCCUUAGUAGCGGCGAGCGAAACGGGAAGAGCCCAAACCAACAAGCUUGCUUGUUGGGGUUGUAGGACACUCUAUACGGAGUUACAAAGGACGACAUUAGACGAAUCAUCUGGAAAGAUGAAUCAAAGAAGGUAAUAAUCCUGUAGUCGA
RNAcentral lists this ribosomal RNA (388 nucleotides) under Staphylococcus aureus. RNAcentral describes it as "partial 23S ribosomal RNA". It matches the Rfam family "Bacterial large subunit ribosomal RNA", at positions 1 to 382 of the family's 2925-position model. Lineage: Bacteria; Bacillati; Bacillota; Bacilli; Caryophanales; Staphylococcaceae. The record is from RNAcentral.